GGUUUGUGGCUCAGUGGCAGAGUGCUUGCCUUAUACAUGUGAGGCACUGGGUUCGAUCCUCAGCACCA
RNAcentral lists this transfer RNA (68 nucleotides) under Marmota monax (woodchuck). RNAcentral's name for it is "tRNA.Ile". The record is from RNAcentral. Lineage: Eukaryota; Metazoa; Chordata; Mammalia; Rodentia; Sciuridae.